This 674-nucleotide long non-coding RNA is filed under the name Daucus carota (carrot). RNAcentral's name for it is "long non-coding RNA (DCAR_LNC006923)". Lineage: Eukaryota; Viridiplantae; Streptophyta; Magnoliopsida; Apiales; Apiaceae. The record is from RNAcentral.
GUCCCUGCAACACAAAGUUCUUUUGAUACCUUUAGGACAGUAAUAGCAGAUUUGUUGCUUGAAGAUAGAAAGGUUUUAGCCACCUGAUUCCUGUUGAUGUUUGAGCUACCUCAUUGUUUAUGUUGAUGCAUUGUCCUUGUUGUGACAGCAUUGCUAACUAAAUGCUCAUAUUUUCUUCGGUUUAAUGAUGUGAAGGCACAUGUGGAGUUGUACUACAAGAGCAAGUGGCUGUUAGAUUGAGAAACUUGAGGCUACCUUUCAGACCUCCCAUGGUGCUCUAUCAAUUUGUUCUUUUCUCCAUUCUCUAAAAACUUAAUAAUUGGUCACUUACGCGUAAAAUGAUGCAAUUCCGAGUACUCUGAUGAGACGUGGAUGCUAGAUUGUUAUUUCUGGUUCUUUGUGGCAUUCCAUUACUUGCUUGACGGCAGAUAAUUUUUGCCAGCUGAUUUGACUCUAGAAUUGAGCUAGUUUUUUUUUUUUUUUUUUUUUUGCUAAAUAGAAUUGAGCUAGCUUUGUGGUUUACACAUUUACACAAAUAAUUUGAUUGUUCUGGUUGUGGUGGACAUGAAGAUUCGUAGGCAAAAGCGUACUAGUGUUGGUGGGUUGGUUAUAACUGCUGUCGCUUUCUUUGUAUAUAGCGCACAUUCCACUAAUGCAUUAUUUCCCCCAGAACA